UUUUCCUUUCUAUGACAAAAAUCUAGGGUUCUUUGGUCGCUUUGUGUUUCAAAAGGUUGUCCGAGAACCCAAAAAUACAGAGACACAUUCAAACACAUUAUGUUCCCAACUGUAAUGACCAACAACAAUCCCAACCAUCUUCACUACCUUCUCUCUCCAUCACUCCCCACCACCUCACCUCCUCCCACAAACCAAGAGAUAAUCAACCAAACCAUCCUCUUCCACCACCAAAUGCACUUCACAGAUCACCACUUGUUCUUGCCCAACAACCACAUUUUCCCCCUAAUUACUGAUGCUCCAAUUGACAUGGGGAGCCCCAAGAAUGGUGGGGAAGUGAGCUCAUCACUCCCAGCUAACAAACCCAUGAAGAGGGACAGGCACAGCAAGAUAUGCACCGCGCAGGGCCUCCGGGACCGGAGGGUGAGGCUCUCGAUCGAGAUCUCGCGCAGGUUCUUCGACCUCCAGGACAUGCUAGGGUUCGACAAGGCGAGCAAAACCCUAGAGUGGCUCCUUACCAAGUCGAGGAAGGCCAUCAAGGAUCUGGCCAAGGCCAAGUGCAAGGGCUCCGUCCUUGGGCCGGUCGACAAUGAGAAGGGCUGGUCUUGUUCUACUUCCGAGUGCGAUCAGGCGGUUUCGGCAAGGGUUGUGAUCGCUGGGGAUGGCGUAAUUCCGAUGGAUGACAAGAGGUCAGUGCUGGGAGGAGACUCUAACCACCAAGAGACGUUCAAGAUGGUGUCAUCAAAUGGAGAUGGUGGUCUUCAUGUUUUGGCUAAAGAAUCUAGGGCAAGGGCAAGGGCUAGGGCAAGGGCUAGGACCAGAGCAAAAAUGAGCCACAACACAAGGCUUUGUCACCAUAACCAGUCCAAGAAACUAUGCCCUGAUCUGCAGGUCGCUAGUGAAGACGACGAAUCAAAUCAUCAUGUUCAAUUGCAAGCUGACCGCCAGACAUUCGGUGAUCAUCAGGAGGAGGUUGAUAUUGAGCAAUCUGUUCUGAUCGAUAGGAAGCUGAAGCAAAGUUCUGUCAUCAUUAACAAUUACCAGAAAAACUUAGAAAUUGUUGGGAAAGAUGCGAUCUGCGACAAUCACAACGAUAGCCAAUUUUACAACUACGAUGUAACUCAUCAAAACUGGGACAUCAUCCCCGCAAUUGCUCAAUCAACCAUUUCUUCAUUCACCAACAUGAACUUUUCAUCAGGGGUUCUGGUAUGUGGAAAGCGGUGGGAUUCUCCAAACAGCUAUAGUCUACUAUAAGAAGGGCAAUACAUGAACCCAAAAAAAGUUGUGUGGGAGAAAAGCAAACCCCUUGUGGAAUGAGAUUUGGAUCCACAAGACGGUAUGGGUCUCCAACGUGUGGUAUAUCAAUUAGUGUCGUCGUCUGGAAAAUGUGCAUUGACUUAUUUAUGAAUUGCGUAUCUGUAAUAAUCAGAUGUAUUCAUUUGGAUGUUGAAUAUUUAUCUGGGUCAAUCUACCCUUUGAAAUCAUUAGCUUGAAAUUACCAUUUUCAGCUUUGCCUGUUU
Molecule: RNA transcript, 1517 nt
Organism: Rhodamnia argentea
Lineage: Eukaryota; Viridiplantae; Streptophyta; Magnoliopsida; Myrtales; Myrtaceae
Gene name: transcription factor DICHOTOMA-like
Exons: 4
Source: RefSeq, a predicted model, not a curated record